This is an RNA transcript of Nomascus leucogenys (northern white-cheeked gibbon), 13172 nucleotides long. It is a transcript of the gene named HECT and RLD domain containing E3 ubiquitin protein ligase 3, with no coding region annotated. NCBI's taxonomy places the organism in Eukaryota, Metazoa, Chordata, Mammalia, Primates, Hylobatidae. The transcript is spliced from 27 exons. The record is from RefSeq and is a predicted model, not a curated record.
GGUGCGAAGCCAGUCACCCAGCGCAUUCCGCCGCCCGCAGGCUUGCGGGGAAACUUCCUUAUUAUUGUGACGCCGAAAACAGAGAAACCCCGGGUCCGGCGAGAGGGUCUGUGAUAGUCGGAGUCCCAAGCUGCGGUUCGGCUGCUGCCGAGAACUGCAAGGUGUGGAAUAUUUCUGGCAUCUAGUCCAAUGCCAAGUGUGUGACCUAUGGCUACAUGAUUCCCUGAAAGAUAAGAACAAUGUUAUGUUGGGGAUAUUGGUCUCUGGGCCAACCUGGUAUCAGCACCAACCUGCAGGGAAUUGUGGCUGAGCCCCAGGUGUGUGGAUUCAUAUCUGACAGAAGUGUCAAGGAAGUGGCCUGUGGGGGAAACCACUCUGUGUUCCUGCUGGAAGAUGGGGAAGUUUACACAUGUGGUUUGAACACCAAAGGGCAGCUGGGCCAUGAGAGGGAAGGAAACAAGCCAGAACAAAUCGGAGCUCUGGCAGAUCAGCAUAUCAUUCAUGUGGCAUGUGGCGAGUCCCACAGUCUGGCCCUCAGUGACCGAGGCCAGCUGUUUUCUUGGGGUGCAGGGAGUGAUGGUCAGCUAGGACUCAUGACUACUGAGGAUUCUGUGGCAGUGCCCAGGUUAAUACAAAAGCUGAACCAGCAAACAAUAUUACAAGUUUCCUGUGGCAACUGGCAUUGCUUGGCUCUUGCGGCUGAUGGCCAGUUCUUCACCUGGGGAAAGAACAGCCAUGGGCAGCUUGGCUUAGGGAAGGAGUUCCCCUCCCAAGCCAGCCCGCAGAGGGUGAGGUCCCUGGAGGGGAUCCCAUUGGCUCAGGUGGCUGCCGGAGGGGCUCACAGCUUUGCCCUGUCUCUCUCAGGAGCUGUUUUUGGCUGGGGGAUGAAUAAUGCAGGGCAGCUAGGGCUCAGUGAUGAAAAAGAUCGAGAAUCUCCAUGCCAUGUAAAACUCUUACGCACGCAAAAAGUUGUCUAUAUUAGUUGUGGAGAAGAACACACAGCAGUUCUCACAAAGAGUGGAGGUGUGUUUACCUUUGGCGCUGGUUCCUGUGGGCAACUUGGACAUGACUCCAUGAAUGAUGAGGUUAAUCCUAGAAGAGUUCUAGAGCUGAUGGGUAGUGAAGUAACUCAGAUUGCUUGUGGCAGACAACAUACCCUAGCCUUCGUGCCUUCUUCCGGACUCAUCUAUGCAUUUGGUUGUGGAGCAAGAGGUCAAUUAGGAACUGGGCACACUUGUAAUGUUAAGUGCCCAUCUCCUGUCAAGGGUUACUGGGCUGCCCACAGUGGCCAGCUUUCAGCCCGAGCUGACCGCUUUAAAUAUCAUAUCGUUAAGCAGAUCUUCUCUGGAGGAGACCAAACUUUUGUACUUUGCUCCAAAUACGAGAAUUCUUCUCCUGCUGUUGACUUCAGGACUAUGAACCAAGCACAUUAUACCAGUUUAAUAAAUGAUGAAACCAUAGCGGUUUGGAGACAAAAACUCUCAGAACACAGUAAUGCAAAUACAAUCAAUGGUGUUGUUCAGAUAUUAUCUUCUGCGGCCUGUUGGAAUGGAAGUUUUCUUGAAAAAAAAAUUGAUGAACAUUUUAAAACGAGUCCCAAAAUCCCUGGGAUUGACCUGAACUCAACUAGAGUGUUAUUUGAGAAGUUAAUGAACUCUCAGCACUCCAUGAUUCUAGAACAGAUUUUGAACAGUUUUGAAAGUUGUCUGAUUCCCCAGUUGUCAAGCUCACCACCAGAUGUUGAAGCCAUGAGAAUCUAUUUAAUACUACCUGAGUUUCCCCUACUCCAGGAUUCCAAGUAUUAUAUAACAUUGACUAUUCCCUUGGCUAUGGCCAUUCUUCGGCUGGAUACAAACCCCAGCAAAGUACUAGAUAACUGGUGGUCUCAGGUAUGCCCGAAAUAUUUCAUGAAGCUGGUAAACCUCUAUAAAGGUGCAGUCCUUUAUCUACUGAGGGGAAGAAAGACAUUCUUAAUUCCCGUACUGUUUAACAAUUAUAUUACAGCAGCUCUCAAACUCUUGGAGAAGUUAUAUAAGGUAAAUCUUAAAGUGAAGCAUGUGGAAUAUGAUACAUUUUACAUUCCUGAGAUUUCCAAUCUUGUGGACAUUCAGGAAGACUACCUCAUGUGGUUCUUGCAUCAAGCAGGGAUGAAGGCUAGACCAUCAAUAAUACAGGAUACUGUAACACUUUGUUCCUACCCUUUCAUCUUUGAUGCCCAAGCCAAGACCAAAAUGUUACAGACAGAUGCUGAACUACAGAUGCAGGUGGCAGUCAAUGGAGCCAACCUGCAGAAUGUCUUCAUGCUUCUCACCCUGGAGCCUCUGCUGGCCAGAAGCCCCUUCCUGGUCCUUCACGUUCGCAGGAACAACCUUGUUGGAGAUGCCCUAAGAGAGCUGAGCAUUCAUUCUGAUAUUGAUUUGAAAAAGCCUCUCAAAGUAAUCUUUGAUGGUGAAGAAGCAGUGGAUGCUGGUGGUGUUACAAAGGAAUUUUUUCUUUUGCUGUUAAAAGAACUUUUGAAUCCCAUCUAUGGAAUGUUUACCUACUAUCAAGAUUCAAAUCUCUUGUGGUUUUCAGAUACGUGUUUUGUAGAGCACAACUGGUUUCACUUGAUUGGUAUAACCUGUGGACUAGCUAUCUACAACUCCACUGUAGUUGAUCUCCACUUCCCAUUGGCUCUCUACAAGAAGUUACUCAACGUAAAGCCUGGCUUGGAAGACUUAAAGGAGUUGUCACCCACUGAAGGAAGGAGUCUCCAGGAGCUUUUAGAUUACCCCGGGGAGGAUGUGGAGGAGACUUUCUGCCUCAACUUCACGAUCUGCCGAGAAAGCUAUGGAGUGAUCGAACAGAAGAAGCUGAUACCUGGGGGAGAUAAUGUGACUGUGUGCAAGGAUAACAGGCAGGAAUUUGUGGAUGCUUAUGUGAAUUAUGUCUUCCAAAUCUCAGUUCAUGAAUGGUACACAGCCUUCUCUAGUGGCUUCCUAAAGGUGUGUGGUGGCAAAGUACUUGAGCUCUUCCAGCCUUCAGAACUGAGGGCUAUGAUGGUGGGGAACAGCAACUAUAACUGGGAAGAACUGGAAGAGACUGCCAUCUACAAGGGAGAUUACUCGGCCACACAUCCCACUGUAAAACUAUUUUGGGAAACAUUUCAUGAGUUUCCACUGGAAAAGAAGAAGAAGUUUCUCUUGUUCCUGACAGGCAGCGAUCGGAUUCCCAUCUACGGCAUGGCCAGUCUGCAGAUUGUCAUCCAGUCCACAGCCAGCGGGGAGGAGUACUUGCCGGUGGCCCACACUUGCUACAACCUUCUUGACCUCCCCAAGUACAGCAGCAAAGAGAUUCUGAGUGCCCGGCUGACCCAGGCCCUUGACAACUAUGAAGGGUUUAGUUUGGCCUGAGGCUCCUCAGCUUGUCCAAUAUUUCCCUUCGUUCCUCAAUGUCCACAUUGAGGCCUAUACAGAAAAUCAUGGGGAGUGAUUUCUAUUUUUUUAUUGUCUAAGUGGGUUGGGACUUUUAAAUACUGAGCCUGGUUGAUGUGUUUCUGGGAUUGUAUAGCAGUAAACAACCUUUUUGAAAAAUUAGAGGUUGGGGAUGGGGUGAAAAAUUGGCCCUUGUAUGGGAGGUGUUUUUGUUUUUGUUUUAAACCAAACUACCCAGUAUUCCUUGCACUUGUGAAUGUGUUGCACUCUGCUGGAUGAAAUGGCAGUGGAUUGUUAAACUUUAAUUUCCCAAAUGUCUCUCUCAGCCCUGAUCUUUUCUCACAGUGCUUCCUCGUUCUUCUCUUAACCUCUCAUUCCUCUAUAAGAAUGAUUUAGACUGACCCAUCCUUUCUUAUCUGCGCAUGCAAGAACAUCAUCUUCCUCUGUACACUUGGAAAUGCCUCUGGCUUGUUGCAGCCCUCCUUUAACCCAAAGGAGGAAAGGACUACUUCAGGAACUCCCAAUUCCAAAAAGCUGAGUCUGGGUCCAUUAUUUUGGCAGAACUCCUAAGAAUUUAUGGGAGCCUAUAUAAACAUAUCUUGCUUUUAAAAAGUUCUUGAGGGAAUAGCAACUUUCCCAUGGCUGUGCCUAUUUCCUAGACCUUUUAAAAGAUGUGCAGAGCAGCUUAGCAUUCAUUGCAGCUGAGCCUAAUUUUUUCUUGCUCAUCCUUGUCCCUUUGACAAUAAGGUUAAUUGAUAGACCCACCACCUCUUCCACUCUCGCUUUUGGAGCAAGUUGCAUUAACUAUUUUGAGUCUCUAUAUUGUCCAAGAAAAGUAGAAAUAAUAAAUUUACUUUCCCUUUUUCUAUCACCUUAUGUCCUCUACCAUUUUCUCCUUCCUCCUUUCCCUUAUUUUCUCCUUUUCAUACCCUGCGUCCUCCCUGAUUUUCCUUUCGUUUCUUCUUUAUUUUAUCCCAUUCUCUGUUACUUGACUCAGUGCUCCCUUCCUCUCUUCUCCUUCUAGUGGAUGCAUGCAGCCUUUUUUUCAAUUUUUAUUUAAAUUGCAAAAUUUUUACUCAGAUUUUUUUUCCUCUUCCCUGAUUGCUAAGAUUUAAGGACGUUCUUUAUUAUGAAACUUUAUCACAUUCGAAAUGUUUGUUUACAGUGGGAUUUUAGGGGGGAUUGUGUUUAAAUCAAAUAUAUGUAUUUUAAAAAUAAUGACAUGCUCAACCUUCCUCAUCAUGGAGUAAGAAAAUUCUACAUGAUUAAAGAAUCCAUGUAAGUCUAAUUUUAAAUUCCUAGUAACUAGAGAAAAGACUUAUUUAUAUAAAAUGAAGUAUUUAUGAACUGUGAUAAAGCAUCAAAUCUUGAUGAAGGAUUGUAGAUUUUUGCUUUUUGUUUUUAAAACUUAUUCCAAUUGCUAAAUUGGUAGUUUUUCAGUCUUUAUAAAUACAGGAUUAAAAAUAUAUAUACAGUUAUAUGAAAUGUUUAUUUUCUAUGUGUGUGCAUAUAGUUCAAUAUUAUGCAAUAAAUUUGGUGUUUUAACUUAAAACUAUUUCUUAUUGUACUUGCAGAAUGGAUAGCUUGCUUUCAGUAGAAGCAUUAGGUCAUAUACUCAGAUAAACUGAUAGAAGGUCAGAUUUGAUUCCUGCAUGAGAAAGUAGAGCCAAGUGCUGCAGAAAUGGAGAAGAAAGCAGGGGCAAGGGCAGAUGGCAUUAAGGAAGAAUGAAGUUUUUGAAGGUUGGGAUGGAUGAAAAGGUGUUUCUCAUGGAGAGGGAGGCUUUAGCAAAGGCUCAAACAUUGGGGCAUAUUUAGGUAAGAGCCAGGAACAGUUUGAAGGGAACAUCAGAGGAAAUAGGCAAAUAAUAGUAAAUAAUGGUAAGUAAGACUUGGGAGAAAGAAGGUAGAUUUGGGGCUGAGGAACUAGCCUAACACUGGAACUUUAGCAGUAGUCAAGUAGGAUUUGUUUCAAUGUUCAGAACCUGAGGGUGGUAAGACCUGAGCCGGGUCUUAAGAAGGAAAAUGUGGAUGGUCUAAAUCUGGAGGUAUUGAGGUGGGAAGGACUGAAGCAGAAAGACAGGAGCUGAGACAGCAGUGACAGUGGCAGCAGCAGAACUAGGGAAGAGUGUCUGAGGAGAGGUAGGGGGAGUGAGUGGAGGGGCUAGGAGCCUGCAGGGAGAAGGAGGCGCUAAAGGUGGAUCAGAGACUGGUUCAUUUAAUGAUUGGUGAUUGUUAGGCCACUUAAGCACACCAAAAGUUUGUGAGACACAGAAAAAAAGAAAAAAAGGAUUUUAAGUAAAUUGGUAAAGCAAGUAAAAUGUAUUGUUUUGCCAGAUUAAAAAGGUAGUAAAGAGAAUAGGAGCUUUCCAUUAAUAAGCUCCAUUCAACAAACAUUUAAUAAUCUACAUAAGUGCUACAUUUGAGGGGUUAAAAACAAACCCCACUAUAUUUAAUUUUGCACAGAAAUUGCCAAAUUAUUUUAGCUAACUUUGAGGCCUCAGAAUUCUCAUCCAUGAAAUGAGAUUGGAUCAGAUAAUUUCUAAGUUUACUUUGAGCUCUAAAAUUUUAUAAUUCCAUUACUGAGAGAGUGCCUGAACAUAGAGAUACCCAAUACAUAUUUCUAAAGAUUUGUCGCAUGAAUGAAAUCUCGUGCUGCUUCUAAAACACUAUGAUUUUUCUAAGAUAGUUUCCUUUUCCCCUUCAUUACCAAUGCUUUAGAGGACUUACAUCUUCUGCAUAGGCAUUUCUGGAUUUGCCUACCCACCUACCAACCUUCCGUCCCCUGAAAACUUUCAGAUGCUUCUUCAUUGUUUUAGUCAUUUACCACUUUAAUGAAAUUAUCUGGCAACUUUAUUGUGGUGGGUGGGGAUCAAUGACAGUGUAAUGAGGCAAUUAGCAAAUUCUGAUGGUUCCAUCUAGUCCAUGUGAAAGUCUCUUGAUGUUUUAUAUGGUACUCUUACUAAUAAUCCCAGAGAGCAGGGGUUGGCAAACUAUGGCCCAUGGGCUAAAACAGUUUUUACAUUUUAAAAGGGUUGAAAACUUUAAAAAUGGAAGGAAAUAUGACAGAGACUGGAUGGCCUAACAUAUUAUCUAGCCCUUUACAGAAAAAAACUUACCAAUCCUUAUGAGGGAGACUUGCCAAAAUCACAGUAACAGAGUGAAAAACCUUCUUGAAGUGUUAGGAGGAACUUGAGUCAUCAUUUGAUGUUGAAUCAGAGAGAACAACUCUUUGGGCUUAUUUGCCUCAGAGGUAAGAAAAUCAAGUUUUAACUAAGAUUAACCCACAGAAGUAGAUAUUAAUACUAAGGUUUUGACCUAAUAAUAACUAACCUGUAUUAAUUGUGUGCGGUGUACCAGACCCGUAUGAGAUCCUGCACCAACAUUUGCUAUGCACUAACUAGUUUAAUUGCCAUUACCAGGGUCCUCCUGGCUCUGCUAUUUACUAGCUGUUUGACCUUGGGCAGGUUUCUUAACCUCUCUCUGUCUCAUUUUCUUCCUCUUCAAAAUGAGAACAGAAAUAGUGCCUACCUCAUGGAGUUGUUGUGAGGAUUAAAUGAAUUAAUGGAAAGCAUAUAGAAUAGCGCUUAGCACAUAAUAAGCUCUCAGUAAUUAGAAUUACCAUUAUUAUCCCAGUUUUUCACAUGAAGGAAUUAAUGUUUGGAGAAAAUAGUUGCUCAUUAUCACAAAAUAGUGGGACCUGGACUUGACUAUUAAUCUGUGUUAUGCCCAGCUGCUAGAGAGGGGCAACAAAUUGGACUAAGGCUGCUCAGUAGCCAAAUAAAAAGGAAUGUUGUAAUGUGGCAGGUAACUUCUUUGACCACAUAUCUGCGAAGACAUCGCACUGAGUUCCGCGUAUCUGCAAUGACAUCACACUGAGUUUUGUUUUGCUGCCAGUGUGCAAUUCAGUAGUGAUCAGUGCAGUUCUCAUGUCAUUUGCAGUGGGUCUCAAGUGAAGCUGGAGGUCUCUGUUGGUAGUUAGUAGCCAGGAAGCAGGUAUGCUUAAUGCCUUGCAUUGCAUAGAACAAUUCCUCUUUAUCCUGCCCAAGAUGCCAGUGGGCACUGCUAUGGUCUGAAUGUUUGUUUCCCUCUUAAAAUUUAUGUGUUGAAACCUAACCCCCAAGAUGAUGGUAUUAGGAGGUGAGGUCUUUGGGAGGUGAUUAUAUCAUGAGGGCAGAACCUCAUGAGUGGUAUUAGUUCCCUUAUAAAAGAGAACCCAGAGAGGUGCCUUGCCCUCCCUACCAUGUGAGGACACAGCAGGAAGGCACAAUGUGUGAGAAAGUAGGCCCUUGCCAGACACCACCAGUGCUUUGAUCUUGGAUUUCCCAGCCUGCAGAACUGUGAAAAAUAAAUUCCUGUUGUAAAUUACCUAGUGUUUGGCAUUUUGUUAUAGUGGCUUGACUGGACUAAGACAAGCCCCUUUGUAAAACACAGAGAGGGAUGGACUUCAUACCCUUUAGGGGAUCCUUCUCUGUAGAAUUCUUUUUUUCAGAAGACUAUUUUUUUCUUUUAUUAAUAAGCUUUUUAUUUUUGAAUACUUUUUUAUUGGUACAUGGUUGCACCUAUUAUGGGGUACUUGUGAUAUUUCGAUACAAGCAUACAAUGCAUAAUGAUGAAACCUAGGUAAUUAAGAUAUCAAAACAUCUAUCAUUUCUUUUUGUUGGUUACAUUCCAAAUGUUCUAGCUAUUUUUAAACAUACAAUAAAUUAUUAAAUAUAGCCACCCUAUUGUGCUAUCAAACAAUAGAGCUUAUUCCUUCUAUCUAACUGUAUUUUUGUACCCAUUAACCAACCUCUUUUUACCCCUCUCCUCCUAGUAUUUGCCCAGCCUCUGGUAACUAUCAUUCUAUUCUCUACCUGCAUGAGAGCAACUUUCGUAGCUCCCACAUUUGAAUGAGAACGUGCAAUAUUUGUCUUUCUGUGCCUGGCUUAUUUCAGUUAACAUCGUGACCUCCAGUUCAUCCAUGUUGCUGCAAAUGGGAUUCAGAAUGUGUUGCUGGACUUCAAGAUAGGAAGAAUCUUUGCCUUGAUGGCUGAUGAUAGUAACCACCCCACCUACCACCAUCUAUUAAGAAUUUACUGUGUGGUCACUUUACAGUCAUCCAAGUAAAUUUUCGUAAUCACCUGAUUACACGGGUACUGCUUUUCAGAAAAAGAAACAGAUUUCUGGAGGUAAGUAACCCAAAUUGUACAGCUGAGCCAUCUGUCUGCAUCUCAAGCAUUGAGGCAGCAUUCGGCCUCCGAGGGUGUUAUCAAAUGUGCUGGUCUUUGUUAACUCAGGGUUUUGGAUUAAUUGGUGGAGCUGCUCAUUUCACCCAGGAUGCAGUCUGCACCCUCUAUUUAAAGUGAGGUCCCUGGACGAGCAACACGGCAGCACCUGGCUGCUUGUCAGCAAUGCAGAACAUCAGGCACUUCCUGGAGCUACAGCACAAGAUCCCCAGGCAGGCGCAUGUGCAUCCAAGUUUGAGCCGCACUGCUUUCUGCUACUACGGAGGGAUAUAUCCUUUACUCUCUCCCUCCCCUUUGUCUCCUCUUGUCUGGUAAUUUUAAAUUAUUUAAAAGUUAUAGAAAAUCAUAGUGUCUCAAAAUGGCUUACCAAGAAAUACUCAAAGCUGUAGGAUCAGAGGCUUGACAUGAAAAUUUCUGUGCAUCUUUGAAUUGCUUUACAGAAAUCAAAGAAAAAUCCAGAUACCUAAAAGAUUAUAAUUUCAGAAUUCAUAGUAACAUGGGGAUCUUCUUGGAGUCAGAACUGAGUUCUUGCUGAGGUUUGCCUUGGGCCCUGUCUCCAGGCAGCUGCAGCAUAACACGGAGUCACCCUUCCUGUCUAAGCCUUGUGGCUGGAGGGGAAGAGUGAGGACCAAGCUGUCAACAGUCCCAGACCUGCCAAGCCCCAUUUGUCUGUGUGCUUGCCAGGAUUCUAAGACUGCAUUUGGGAAUUUUGACUUUUACUGAAUGUGAAAUUCUGUGUAUAAUAGCCUUGGUGAGCUGACCCAGUCAGGGAUGACUCUGAUAUACUUUGUCUUACAGGAUUCAGAAUCCAUAGCUAGAAGAGGUAGUAAGGCCACUGGGAGGGCCUGUCUCUCCUCAGCCCACCCCGACCCCCUGUGUGGGUCUUCAUUCUGAAAUUUCCAUUCAGGUACUUCACAGUUCUGCAAACUAUGAUAGGACUAGAAGUGAAGACAUUGGUUAAGGGGUUCAGAGGACAUCAGGCUUUAUACUAGGCUGUGGAACCUGGUGUUCUUGGGCUUGUGUAACUUUCUGGUCCCUCAAAAGAGGCAACAUCAGAAGAUUGAAGAAAAUGAGAGUCACUAAAUACAGCUUGUCGUUUCUGCCCAAAUUUUAUUACUUGAGCCCAGAGUUACCAAAAUUAUUCAUGAUGAGCUUCAGUUUUGGCAGGACAGCAUUAACUUGCAUCUGUGUUAGCAGUAUUGCAUCUUUGUACUCUGAAGUCAGACAGAUCUGAGUUUGAAUCCUUGUUUUAGCACUAGGACCUUAUUCCAAGCCUUUUUUAUUUUUUAAUUUCAGGCUUAGCGUAUUUCUAAUGGUUACUUUCUGUCAUUUAGAGGAUGUAUAGCAGCACAUAGUUUAAAGGACACUGCAUGCCUACCCACCAUGGCAGCUUUCUGUCCCCAGCUGUUAGGUGGGGCAUGGAGCUGCCCCACCUGCUGCCCAACUCUCCAGGCUAUUCGAGGCCUGAGCGAGGAGGGCACACUUGGCCAGGGAUAGGAACAGGCAGUGCAAAGGGCGAGGUGCUCCCUCCACACGACUGAAAUGUGUCUUUCUCCAAGUCUCUCAGUUCUCUGGUGGCCUUAUAGUAAAUGGCUAAUGUAUUUAUUCAUGAUGGCCUCAUUGGCUUUGGAGAUGUACUUAAUUUUUAAAAAUUUGCUUCAAUGCCCUCAUUUCUGCACUUCUCCAGCGCUUUCUAUGAAUUUUUUAAAGGCAACUGAGCCAUGAGAGCACAAGCCCAUUUUUCUAGUUACAAAACGGACAUGCCUGAAGUGUACGCUCAGCUCGCAUCACCUUCCAAUGCCCUGCCUGGAGAUAGAACAACAAAAACUUAAUCCUCAGGAGGCUUCUGAGGGGCUCCAGGGAGUCACAGGAUUACUUAAAGAAGGGAAAGGUCAGACCCUGAUCCUGAUGCUACUGUCAAAAAUUCUAGCACUUUCAUAGUUUAAAAUAUUUUACAUUUACACAAAAUAGUCAUGUAUAAAAUGUUUUUUGUUCAGUUUACAUUUUUAAAAAGGACAAUGGUAAUUUCAAAUGCCUUCUGCUUACAUGUCAUGUAAAUAUUGUUAGGAGCCCAUAUUUUUUACAAAAACUGUUUGUGGAGAUUUUCAUGACUGUAUAGGUGUUUUCAGUUGGAGGAUUUGCCAAACCUGUGUUUUGAGGCACACACAUGAUCUCUGCUUGGGAAAGUGGCCAGUGCCACUGUGCAGUGCCCAGCAUUUCUACGUGACCCUGGUUUGGUGUGUGCUGUGUUGGUCACCACUUAAAGUAGAGCCAGUGUGCACAAUUUGAAUAUAUAAAAAUUUGAAAAUAUGUUUAGCCAGUCUACUCUUUAGUACAUUUUGAGUGUCAAGUGGAAAAAAACAGUAAAAGGAAAUUAAUGAAGGAAAGGAAAGCAUUUUCUGAGUUCUGUCAAACACAAGAGCUUCAGAGGAAACAGUGCUUCAAGACUGUAGUAUAGUUUGUCCCUCCUCAUUGAUUUAACUAAGUGGAUACUGAAAAAAUAGCACAGAGGCAUUGAUCUUGGUGCAGAAACCACCUCUCCCCGACUAGGGGAAAAUAAACUAGCAAGGAGCGUGUCAGGAAGACCCCUCUUGAAAGCAAAGCAAAGCAGAAUUUAGACUACAGCUAGCUUUCACAAAGCUGUUAACAGUUUAUGGUGUUCAACUAUAAAUAUAUCACCAAAAGCAUAAGGUGUUACUCUUAAGAAAAGGGCGUCUUCAUCAGAUUAAAAAGCUCUAAAACCAAAAAUUAUCCAAACUUAAACUCUGAUCGGUUCUGGACACAGGGCCCAAUUCUGUCUCUGGAGAACUAGGCAACCCCUGGGCAGAACCAGCUUGAUUAGCACCAUGGCCAUCCCUUUAUGCUGAUAAUAAACCUAAAUAUUCACCUUAUAAGGAAUUCUAAGCUCAACCACAUUUACAAAUGCUCAGCCCUCAGGGUUCCAAGACUGCUGGUCUUGGGACACCUUAGUGCGGCAUUUAUGACACAACACAGCUCUGAGGCAUUUGUCCUUGGCUAGAAAUGUCACACCUGGGAGCAGGCACACCCUGUAAGAGGCUAUUCCCCUGCCACCCAAGCAAUGAAUUAUGAUGAGACAAAGCAAAAAUUACACUGAUAUUACAGAGAUAUCACUGAUCCCUGCAAUGAAUAAUAAUCUUUUGACUUUGAACUGGUAGGCAAAUGGAAGAAAUCUUAACAGCUGAAAACAUCCUAGCUGGUAAUUAAAAAAAUAAUUAGUACUCCAGUUUGAAAUUUGGUUUGGUCUUUCAUGGAAAUUUUCCCUCACUUGGGAGGUCACCAAAAUUGUGCUAGCUUUUUUUAUUUUUUUUUUUAAAGCAGCACAGGACAAACUUCUACCAUCUUGAAAAACUUCUAAGCUGUCCCUUAUCCUAAAUCUUGCACCUACAAGUCUUAGAAAGUGAAAUCUGAACUAAAUGAUUCAAAGAUGAAACAUAAUGAUAUACUUAAUAUAAACAUCUAUUUCAAUGUUUACACCAGACUGAACACAAUAAAAGUACUUAUGAAAAUUAUAAGUUUACUUACACUUAUGAAAUAACUCGACAUUUAUUUUGUUGGCAUGUGCUAAUAAACACAUAUUCCCAAGACAGCAAAGGAAAAUUCCCAGUCCAGAGCAUUCUGUCUUUGUGAAGCCAAUUAAGACACCACCACUAGUGCCCUGAGAUUCUGGGCUGCAGAAAUGGUUGCAGGGGAACAUAUCUCCCUUGGCAGAGCCAGAAACCACUGACUAACAAACAUUUCUUCAAAUAAGAUCUAGUGUGAAAAGGGCUUCCCCUCAUUUCAUCUGGGCUCCAUUCCAUGAAGAAUGUAAGUUAGUGGAAAUUACAAAGGAAAACACAACAUCUCAUACACUAUUUUAUAUAACUUGGUGUUUUCUUUUAUUGAAUCAUACAAAUUCAAAUGGGGAUUCCUGAAUAAAUCUUUUUGUUAAUUUACCUUUGGCAGAAACAACAGAUUCCAAAACAAUUAGUAGCAUCUCAUUUAUUUGUAGCUUAAAAAAAAAUUCUGUAGCGUAUUUUCCAAAAACAUAGUCUUAAACAAAUGUGCUUUAAAAGCUCAGUGGUAAUGAUCUGAUUAAUAUCAUAGCUUAUUUAAGAGAGCUAUUAAAGGACAGACUAGACAUGUAUUUUUAAAAAAACACAAUUUUUGGUCAUGUGAAUGAUUCAUGUUCAGAUUUCAAAAAUAGGAAACAUCCUAAAGUGCAUCAUUUUAUUUAUAAUCUCACUCCUUGAAAUUAUAGCAAUCUGCAAUGUAAACAGUAGAGCAAAGAAUUCCAAACUAUAUUUUUAUGUACAUUUAAACCUGUAGGAUUAUGUACCGUCUUUGUGUGUGGAUUAAAACCAGGGCACUUCCAACACAUAGCUCAAGCUUCCAUACGAUUAAGAGCAAACUUACUUAAAGGCAUUCUUUCUCCCCAUCCUUAACAUUCAGCUGACAGAGGAGAGCUGCUGCCUCACUUCAGCAAUGGAAAAUGUUGCUGUAAAUCCCAUCGGACCAGCCAGUUUCUCACGACCCU